Molecule: transfer RNA, 63 nt
Filed under: Gyrohypnus fracticornis
Lineage: Eukaryota; Metazoa; Arthropoda; Insecta; Coleoptera; Staphylinidae
Description: tRNA-Tyr
Rfam family: tRNA
About the family: Transfer RNA (tRNA) molecules are approximately 80 nucleotides in length. Their secondary structure includes four short double-helical elements and three loops (D, anti-codon, and T loops).
Source: RNAcentral
GGUAAAAUGGCUGAUUUAGGCGAUAAAUUGUAAAUUUAUUUAUGGGUUCAAGCCCUUUUACCA